GCAAGUACGAACGAGAUUAUCCAGCUUGCUGGAUAUGAAAGUGGCGCACGGGUGCGUAACGCGUGAGCAACCUACCUCUGUCAGGGGGAUAGCCCGGCGAAAGUCGGAUUAACACCGCAUGACAUUAUUGAUGUGGCAUCACAUUAUAAUCAAAUAUUUAUAGGACAGAGAUGGGCUCGCGUGACAUUAGCUAGUUGGAGAGGUAACGGCUCACCAAGGCAACGAUGUCUAGGGGCUCUGAGAGGAGAAUCCCCCACACUGGUACUGAGACACGGACCAGACUCCUACGGGAGGCAGCAGUAAGGAAUAUUGGUCAAUGGAGGGAACUCUGAACCAGCCAUGCCGCGUGCAGGAUGACUGCCCUAUGGGUUGUAAACUGCUUUUGUCGGGGAAUAAACCUACGUUUGUAAACGUAGCUGAAUGUACCCGAAGAAUAAGGAUCGGCUAACUCCGUGCCAGCAGCCGCGGUAAUACGGAGGAUCCAAGCGUUAUCCGGAUUUAUUGGGUUUAAAGGGUGCGUAGGCGGUUCUUUAAGUCAGAGGUGAAAGACGGCAGCUGAACUGUCGCAGUGCCUUUGAUACUGAAGAACUUGAAUUAGGUUGAGGAAUGCGGAAUGAGACAAGUAGCGGUGAAAUGCAUAGAUAUGUCUCAGAACCCCGAUUGCGAAGGCAGCAUUCCAAGCCUUUAUUGACGCUGAUGCACGAAAGCGUGGGGAUCGAACAGGAUUAGAUACCCUGGUAGUCCACGCCCUAAACGAUGAUAACUCGAUGUUGGCGAUAGACAGUCAGCGUCCCAGCGAAAGCGUUAAGUUAUCCACCUGGGGGAGUACGCCCGCAAGGGUGAAACUCAAAGGAAUUGACGGGGGCCCGCAC
Molecule: ribosomal RNA, 872 nt
Filed under: Sphingobacterium spiritivorum
Lineage: Bacteria; Pseudomonadati; Bacteroidota; Sphingobacteriia; Sphingobacteriales; Sphingobacteriaceae
Description: bacterial SSU rRNA
Rfam family: Bacterial small subunit ribosomal RNA
Source: RNAcentral